CCUUGACUAAUCCCUCAUGCAUAAAUACAAACUUCAGAUCUUAAAUCUAAAUAUUUAGAUCUAAAUUUUUUACAUAAAAAGUAAAUUUUAGAUCUCAAAAUAAUUUUCAGAUUAUGCAUACAAUCAUAUAUCACAUAUAUGAAUAAAAUUCAAAUUAUAGAAACUAAUUUUAGAUCUAAACAUGCAAUCACAUAUCAUAUAUAUAAACAAAAUUCAGAUCAUAGAAUGUUGCCCAG
RNAcentral lists this long non-coding RNA (236 nucleotides) under Elaeis guineensis (African oil palm). RNAcentral describes it as "long non-coding RNA (EGUI_LNC038714)". Lineage: Eukaryota; Viridiplantae; Streptophyta; Magnoliopsida; Arecales; Arecaceae. The record is from RNAcentral.